AAGUCGAACGGAGCUUCCUGUAGCAAUACAGGAAGUCACGUGGCGGACGGGUGCGUAACACGUGGGCAACCUGCCCGGAAAUGGGGAAUAACCCGCCGAAAGGCGGGCUAAUACCGCAUAACAUCCCAGUUGCUUCGGCGAUAGGGAUCAAAGCCCGCAAGGGCGUUACCGGAGGGGCCCGCGCCCGAUUAGCUAGUUGGUAGGGUAACGGCCUACCAAGGCUUAGAUCGGUAGCCGGUCUGAGAGGACGAUCGGCCACACUGGAACUGAGACACGGUCCAGAUUCCUACGGGAGGCAGCAGUGGGGAAUCUUGCGCAAUGGGCGAAAGCCUGACGCAGCGACGCCGCGUGAGGGAUGAAGCUUCUCGGAGUGUAAACCUCUUUCGACCCGGACGAAGGCCCGCAAGGGCUUGACGGUACGGGGAGAAGAAGCCCCGGCUAACUACGUGCCAGCAGCCGCGGUAAAACGUAGGGGGCCAGCGUUGCUCGGAAUUACUGGGCGUAAAGGGUCUGUAGGCGGUGCGGUAAGUCCGGAGUGAAAUCUCCAGGCUCAACUUGGAGGCUGCUUUGGAAACUGCCGUGCUCGAGUGCGGGAGAGGCGAGCGGAAUUGCAGGUGUAGCGGUGAAAUGCGUAGAUAUCUGCAGGAACA
This 650-nucleotide ribosomal RNA is filed under the name uncultured bacterium. RNAcentral describes it as "bacterial SSU rRNA". It matches the Rfam family "Bacterial small subunit ribosomal RNA", at positions 59 to 708 of the family's 1533-position model. The record is from RNAcentral.